GUCCACGCCGUAAACGAUGAUAACUAGCUGUUCGGGGUCUACGAUCCUGAGUGGCGCAGCUAACGCAUUAAGUUAUCCGCCUGGGGAGUACGGUCGCAAGAUUAAAACUCAAAGGAAUUGACGGGGGCCCUGCACAAGCGGUGGAGCAUGUGGUUUAAUUCGAAGCAACGCGCAGAACCUUACCAGCGUUUGACAUCCCUUAAUACGCGGUUUUCAGAGAUGAUUACCUUCAGUUCGGCUGGAUUAGUGACAGGUGCUGUAUGGCUGUCGU
RNAcentral lists this ribosomal RNA (271 nucleotides) under uncultured bacterium. RNAcentral describes it as "partial 16S ribosomal RNA". It matches the Rfam family "Bacterial small subunit ribosomal RNA", at positions 793 to 1055 of the family's 1533-position model. The record is from RNAcentral.